UGGGGAAUAUUGGACAAUGGGCGCAAGCCUGAUCCAGCCAUGCCGCGUGAGUGAUGAAGGCCCUAGGGUUGUAAAGCUCUUUCACCGGUGAAGAUAAUGACGGUAACCGGAGAAGAAGCCCCGGCUAACUUCGUGCCAGCAGCCGCGGUAAUACGAAGGGGGCUAGCGUUGUUCGGAUUUACUGGGCGUAAAGCGCACGUAGGCGGACUUUUAAGUCAGGGGUGAAAUCCCGGGGCUCAACCCCGGAACUGCCUUGGAUACUGGAAGUCUUGAGUAUGGUAGAGGUGAGUGGAAUUCCGGGUGUAGAGGUGAAAUUCGUAGAUAUUCGGAGGAACACCAGUGGCGAAGGCGGCUCACUGGACCAUUACUGACGCUGAGGUGCGAAAGCGUGGGGAGCAAACAGG
This 404-nucleotide ribosomal RNA is filed under the name Actinomycetes bacterium. RNAcentral's name for it is "Actinobacteria bacterium partial 16S ribosomal RNA". It matches the Rfam family "Bacterial small subunit ribosomal RNA", at positions 355 to 776 of the family's 1533-position model. Lineage: Bacteria; Bacillati; Actinomycetota; Actinomycetes. The record is from RNAcentral.